RNAcentral lists this ribosomal RNA (1261 nucleotides) under metagenome. RNAcentral's name for it is "SSU rRNA". It matches the Rfam family "Eukaryotic small subunit ribosomal RNA", at positions 603 to 1790 of the family's 1831-position model. The record is from RNAcentral.
AUUAAAGUUGUUGCAGUUAAAAAGCUCGUAGUUGGAUUUCGGGGCUCCUUAUGUAAUAGUCAUGCGGUGGACACUUGCUUGUUGCUUUAGGGGGGUGUUUUUUUGGGGCAACCCGAGGACACCACCCGGCGGCAGGGGAAAGGCCACUGCGGGCGGGGCCCAUUUAUAUUUCUCGAAGACGUCACGGGCCCUUAACUGGUGUACUGUGGUCGCGGAUUCGAGACGUUUACUUUGAAAAAAUUAAAGUGUUCAAAGCAGGCAAUCAAAAACGCUUGAAUACAUUAGCAUGGAAUAAUGGAAUAGGACUUUGGUCUUAUUUUGUUGGUUUCUAGGACUGAAGUAAUGAUUAAUAGGGACAGUUGGGGGCAUUCGUAUUUAAUUGUCAGAGGUGAAAUUCUUGGAUUUAUGAAAGACGAACUUCUGCGAAAGCAUUUGCCAAGGAUGUUUUCAUUAAUCAAGAACGAAAGUUAGGGGAUCGAAGACGAUUAGAUACCGUCGUAGUCCUAACCAUAAACUAUGACGACUAGGGAUCAGUGGGGAACAAAUCAAAAAACUCCAUUGGCACCUUAUGAGAAAUCAAAGUUUUUGGGUUCUGGGGAAAGUACCAACGCAAGUUGGAAGCUUAAAGGAAUUGACGGAAGGGCACACCAGGCGUGGAAUCUGCGGCUUAAUUUGACUCAACACGGGGAAACUCACCAGGUCCAGACAAAAUAAGGAUUGACAGAUUGAGAGCUCUUUCUUGAUUUUUUGGGCAGUGGUGCAUGGCCGUUCUUAGUUGGUGGAGCGAUCUGUCUGGUUAAUUCCGAUAACGAACGAGACCUUAACCUGCUAAAUAGCGACGUCAUUCCUUGUGAAGGACGGAUUUUGACUUCUUAGAGGGACUAUCGGUGACUAACCGAUGGAAGUUUGAGGCAAUAACAGGUCUGUGAUGCCCUUAGAUGUUCUGGGCCGCACGCGCGUUACACUGACAGAGGCAGCGAGUUUUUUUAAAUAUCCUGGCCUGGAAAGGUUUGGGUAAUCUUGUGAAUCUCUGUCGUGAUGGGGAUAGAUCUUUGUAAUUAUCGAUCUUCAACGAGGAAUGCCUUGUAAUCGCGGUUCAUCAAAUCGCGUUGACUACGUCCCUGCCCUUUGUACACACCGCCCGUCGCUACUACCGAUUGAAUGGUUUAGUGAGGUCUCGGGACUGGCGCGGCUUGGCUGUAAAAGGCCGAUCCAUGCUGGGAACUUGCCCAAACUUGAUCAUUUAGAGGAAGUAAAAGUC